GAUCCUGGCUCAGGACGAACGCUGGCGGCGUGCUUAACACAUGCAAGUCGAACGAAAAGACGGAAAGAGCUUGCUCUUUUCAGAAUUGAGUGGCAAACGGGUGAGUAACACGUAAACAACCUGCCUUCAGGAUGGGGACAACAGACGGAAACGACUGCUAAUACCGAAUAAGUUCCAAGAGCCGCAUGGCCCGAUGGAAGAAAAGGUGGCCUCUACCUGUAAGCUAUCGCCUGAAGAGGGGUUUGCGU
Molecule: ribosomal RNA, 248 nt
Filed under: uncultured bacterium
Lineage: Bacteria
Description: partial 16S ribosomal RNA
Rfam family: Bacterial small subunit ribosomal RNA
Source: RNAcentral